Molecule: ribosomal RNA, 106 nt
Filed under: Caldifarciminota bacterium
Lineage: Bacteria; Pseudomonadati; Caldifarciminota
Also listed under: 1 other name
Description: partial 16S ribosomal RNA
Rfam family: Bacterial small subunit ribosomal RNA
Source: RNAcentral
CCGAUCCGCAUCAAGCGGUAGGGAGGCGCCUAGGGUAAACUCGGUGACUGGGGCGAAGUCGUAACAAGGUAGCCGUACGGGAACGUGCGGCUGGAUCACCUCCUUU